Molecule: long non-coding RNA, 1396 nt
Filed under: Sparus aurata (gilthead seabream)
Lineage: Eukaryota; Metazoa; Chordata; Actinopteri; Spariformes; Sparidae
Description: lncRNA (ENSSAUG00010023112.1)
Source: RNAcentral
UCGAUAUUUAGAAGCAUUUCAAAUUAUUAAAUCAAUUACAAAGAAAUAAGAUUCUCUACUUAACACACUAUUUCUUAACGUCGUAUCUUGACGUUUUCUCUUCCAUGUGGAUAUUUAUGAUGGAUCUCUUAUUCUAGUAUUAAAUAAAAAAUGUAGCUCGUCCUCAACUCUUUAUUAUCUCGACCUGAAUCCCACGCUGGGAGGGAAACAGUCUGAACAGGGUGUUGUAAUUAGUUAAAGGAGCAUUAUGUAGUUUUAAAAAUUCACAAAAAUUCUUUCUACAAUAUCGAUCAGGUAAAAACACAGGCUGAGAAAUUUUCAGAGGAAAUUCAGGUCCACGAAAACACUGUUUGUUUAUAUUUGGCGGACCCUGCCACCUUUCUGUCUACGCAGUUAAACAAAGUGAACUGGUGUUGCCCUCAACAGUCAGUUUGUUUAUUCAGUUUAUUUGGGCACGAAAACAAAGAGAGUUUCUUUGUUUAGUUUGUUUCAGCAUGAAAACAAAAAAAUGAGUCGAUGAAUCAGACUUUCUUUUCUGAUUCGAAUUUUUUCUCUAAAACUACAUAAUACACCUUUAAAAGCUAAAUGACAAAAACUUUACACUAAAACUUGACACAAUGUAGCCUAUGUGUUUUUUUCCAGCAGCUAUCAGUGGACAUAAGAGAUGCAGAGACGACAGGAAGAGUCAAAGGCUGCCACCUGAGAGCGUCCAGAACGGACCUCGCCCCGAAGGUAUGGACAAGCUUCUCAUCACUCUCUUUCUGUCUCAUCAUCGUGUUGACUGGCUGGCUGGCACGCCUGAGGACACGAGGCGGCCAGACAUAGGCACUGGCAGACCUGCAGGUUGACUUUUCAGUGGUAUGUCAGGACUGACUGUAUCUCAGAGGGGUCAUGACCUACCCAGACUGUGACCUGGACAAACAGGACCGAGGAGCUGCAGCAGGACACGGAAUGUCCCUCUUGUUUUGUUUUCGUUUCACUUUUUUGUUGAGAAGCUGGAAUAUGCCUCCCUCUGCACUUGCCGGAGCAAAAGAAAACAUUUUCUUGGCAUCACAUGAGGCGGUUUACAUAAGAGAACGUUGUGUGAGUGUAACGAAAUUAUAAAAGCUUACGCAGUGCUCUGUGUUGCAACUGAAGACGCAUUAUUCUUUCUUUUCUCUUUGUGACUGUCGUCUUCUAAAGCCACUGAGAAUGUAAUUUAUUUUAGGAGCAGCACUUUUUCUUUGUGAACAUAUUUUUGGUGUUAGCACAGCCACUUUAUCUGUACAGUCCCAGAUUAUAUAUGCUCGCUCUGCGUCUGGUGCCAUGUGGAACCAAUUUAUUCUUAAUAAAAAAAAACAAUGUGAGUGAUUUAGAAGGUGUCCACUUGUCUGCAUUUACUGGGUGUCAGCUCCCC